AUUGAACGCUGGCGGCAGGCCUAACACAUGCAAGUCGAACGGUAACAGGAAGAAGCUUGCUUCUUUGCUGACGAGUGGCGGACGGGUGAGUAAUGUCUGGGAAACUGCCUGACGGAGGGGGAUAACUACUGGAAACGGUAGCUAAUACCGCAUAACGUCGCAAGACCAAAGAGGGGGACCUUCGGGCCUCUUGCCAUCGGAUGUGCCCAGAUGGGAUUAGCUAGUAGGUGGGGUAACGGCUCACCUAGGCGACGACCCCUAGCUGGUCUGAGAGGAUGACCAGCCACACUGGAACUGAGACACGGUCCAGACUCCUACGGGAGGCAGCAGUGGGGAAUAUUGCACAAUGGGCGCAAGCCUGAUGCAGCCAUGCCGCGUGUAUGAAGAAGGCCUUCGGGUUGUAAAGUACUUUCAGCGGGGAGGAAGGGAGUAAAGUUAAUACCUUUGCUCAUUGACGUUACCCGCAGAAGAAGCACCGGCUAACUCCGUG
RNAcentral lists this ribosomal RNA (490 nucleotides) under uncultured bacterium. RNAcentral describes it as "partial 16S ribosomal RNA". It matches the Rfam family "Bacterial small subunit ribosomal RNA", at positions 30 to 507 of the family's 1533-position model. The record is from RNAcentral.